AAUCAACGCUGGCGGCGUGCCUCAGACAUGCAAGUCGAACGAUUAAAGCUCUCUUCGGAGAGUGCAUAGAGUGGCGCACGGGUGAGUAACACGUAAGUAAUCUACCUUCGAGUGGGAAUAACGUCCGGAAACGGACGCUAAUACCGCAUAAUGCAGCGGCAUCGUAAGAUGACAGUUGUUAAAGAUUUAUCGCUUGAAGAGGAGCUUGCGGCAGAUUAGCUAGUUGGUAAGGUAAUGGGCUUACCAAGGCUACGAUCUGUAACCGGUCUUAGAGGACGGUCGGUCACACUGACACUGAAUAACGGGUCAGACUCCUACGGA
RNAcentral lists this ribosomal RNA (321 nucleotides) under uncultured bacterium. RNAcentral describes it as "bacterial SSU rRNA". It matches the Rfam family "Bacterial small subunit ribosomal RNA", at positions 32 to 345 of the family's 1533-position model. The record is from RNAcentral.